This 552-nucleotide long non-coding RNA is filed under the name Equus caballus (horse). RNAcentral's name for it is "lncRNA (ENSECAG00000037510.2)". Lineage: Eukaryota; Metazoa; Chordata; Mammalia; Perissodactyla; Equidae. The record is from RNAcentral.
GAAUGUUUAUUUUUCUACUUAUUUCCUUUGAUUCCCUUUACAAUAUAAAAGAUAAGGGAGUAGUUUGAGUUUAAACAGUACUGUUCAAGCUUAUUAUGUGUUACAUUUAUUGUGGUCACAUUAUGCGUGUGAUCCAUGUGGAUUUGCCUGUUUACAGAUUUCCUAUUUACACAGCUGGGAACUGAAAGGUAGUAGCUACCCAAAGGACAUUUGCUCUAUUGGUGAAGAGCGGAGACCAGAUCCUACAGGCCUCCUGAUUUCCAGGUCAACGAUUAAGUUGGAGUCCUCUAGUCAACAGAGUUUAGAAAAAGUUUUGGUAGUGGAAGGACAAGUGUAUCCACAUGAGGAGCGGGGAGCUUUGUGGAAAAGGGAAGAAGAGAUGCAACUGUGGAGCAGAUGACAUUGGAGAAUAGACAAGCCCAAGAGGACUCACACCAAGAGAAAUUUUGAUAGCCAAAGGGCAACGUGAAGGCAUUGAAGUAACACGGAGAUUAAGAGAUGGUACUAGUAGCAUGCAGACGAAACAAAAAAUAAAAUUUGCUUUAAAAUUGG